This 596-nucleotide ribosomal RNA is filed under the name uncultured bacterium. Its description in RNAcentral is "bacterial SSU rRNA". It matches the Rfam family "Bacterial small subunit ribosomal RNA", at positions 98 to 706 of the family's 1533-position model. The record is from RNAcentral.
GCGAACGGGUGAGUAAUACAUAUUUAACCUACCCUUAAGACGAGGAUAGCCAUUGGAAACGAUGGAUAAAACUGGAUAGGAUAUAGAGGAAGAAUCUUUUAUAUUUAAAAGAGAGAUCUGCUUAAGGAGGGGCCUGUGGCGCAUUAGCUAGUUGGUGGGGUAAGGGCCUACCAAGGCGAUGAUGCGUAGCCGGACUGAGAGGUUGAACGGCCACAAUGGAACUGAAAACGGUCCAUACUCCUACGGGAGGCAGCAGUAGGGAAUUUUCGGCAAUGGGGGGAACCCUGACCGAGCAACGCCGCGUGAACGAAGAAGUUAUUCGUAAUGUAAAGUUCUUUUAUCAGGGAAGAAAGAGGAAUUUGACGGUACCUGAGGAAUAAGCUCCGGCUAACUACGUGCCAGCAGCCGCGGUAAUACGUAGGGAGCGAGCGUUAUCCGGAAUUAUUGGGCGUAAAGGGUGCGUAGAUGGCAUAGCAAGUCUUUUGUAAAAAUGCUGGGCUCAACCCAGUAGGGCAAAAGAUACUGCAAAGCUAGAGUAUGACAGAGGCAAGUGGAACUACAUGUGUAGCGGUAAAAUGCGUAAAUAUAUGUAAGAA